GACGAACGCUGGCGGCGUGCUUAACACAUGCAAGUCGAACGAAGAGCGAUGGAAGCUUGCUUCUAUCAAUCUUAGUGGCGAACGGGUGAGUAACGCGUAAUCAACCUGCCCUUCAGAGGGGGACAACAGUUGGAAACGACUGCUAAUACCGCAUACGAUCUAAUCUUGGCAUCGAGGAUAGAUGAAAGGUGGCCUCUACAUGUAAGCUAUCACUGAAGGAGGGGAUUGCGUCUGAUUAGCUAGUUGGAGGGGUAACGGCCCACCAAGGCGAUGAUCAGUAGCCGGUCUGAGAGGAUGAACGGCCACAUUGGGACUGAGACACGGCCCAGACUCCUACGGGAGGCAGCAGUGGGGAAUCUUCCGAAAUGGACGAAAGUCUGACGGAGCAACGCCGCGUGAGCGAUGACGGCCUUCGGGUUGUAAAGCUCUGUUAAUCGGGACGAAAGGCCUUCUUGCGAAUAGUGAGAAGGAUUGACGGUACCGGAAGAGAAAGCCACGGCUAACUACGUG
This 510-nucleotide ribosomal RNA is filed under the name uncultured bacterium. Its description in RNAcentral is "partial 16S ribosomal RNA". It matches the Rfam family "Bacterial small subunit ribosomal RNA", at positions 28 to 507 of the family's 1533-position model. The record is from RNAcentral.